GGAGGGGUGCGAGAGUGGUUGAAUCGACUGGUCUUGAAAACCAGCAGGCGUGCAAGCGUCUCGUGGGUUCGAAUCCCACCCCCUCUGCCA
Molecule: transfer RNA, 90 nt
Filed under: Rhodobiaceae bacterium
Lineage: Bacteria; Pseudomonadati; Pseudomonadota; Alphaproteobacteria; Hyphomicrobiales; Rhodobiaceae
Description: tRNA-Ser
Rfam family: tRNA
About the family: Transfer RNA (tRNA) molecules are approximately 80 nucleotides in length.
Source: RNAcentral